AGGCUGUCUCUACGAUUCUGAACAUGACUUCCUCAGCACACUACGAUCCCGAGGAAGCUCUACUCGAUACACUACGAUCCUUCUUCGUUUCCCCUGGCAGUCUACGAACUCCGAGAUCUACUAUCUUGCAUAUUCCUAUUCUGCCUCGAUAGCUCUCGAGUUAACCUUGACUCACCUGGCAGACUACGACUUCUGGUGCAGUGCUCGACGAUCAGACUAGCCUAUCU
Molecule: long non-coding RNA, 227 nt
Filed under: Panax ginseng (ginseng)
Lineage: Eukaryota; Viridiplantae; Streptophyta; Magnoliopsida; Apiales; Araliaceae
Description: long non-coding RNA (PGIN_LNC007857)
Source: RNAcentral